CUAUAGGAUUGACACUCUACAUUGAUACUUCUUAUUAUCGAUUAACUAUUGUCUCCACCCUGCAUUCUCCUAUUAAUAUUGAUCCAAAUUUACAAUAUACAUUAACUCCCCCAUCUUUGAAAAAAAAAAAAAUUAACUCCGACAUCUGAUGUCUACAUGAGGGACAUUACAGUCGACAACAGUAUUCAAGGCAAAUAUGACAUCCUCAAUUAAAGCAAAAAGGUCAAUAAUCACUCCGCACCAGCACCAGCCACAGCCCGGCUCUCUCCUCCCUUGUCAUAGGCAUCCUACAAUCCCCUCGCCAUUUCCAUCAAUCCCCUCACCAUUUCUCCUCUCACUGGCAAUCUUCUCUUCAUUUCCCCACUCCCUUAACCCUCUUCUUUCCUCUAUCAUAUGAUCCCAGUUUCCCAACUUCCUUUCUGUUUCGCUAACUUUCCAGCAACUCCUCUUCACAUCUUCCCCAUAUGUAGAUUGGCGGUGGUGAUUCUGGUGAGGUAAGGGGGGCU
RNAcentral lists this long non-coding RNA (506 nucleotides) under Nicotiana tabacum (common tobacco). RNAcentral describes it as "long non-coding RNA (NTAB_LNC015366)". The record is from RNAcentral. Lineage: Eukaryota; Viridiplantae; Streptophyta; Magnoliopsida; Solanales; Solanaceae.